AACGCGAAGAACCUUACCUACCCUUGACAUGUCAGGAAGUUGGCAGAGAGGUCGAUGUGCCCGAAAGGGAGCCUGAACACAGGUGCUGCAUGGCUGUCGUCAGCUCGUGUCGUGAGAUGUUGGGUUAAGUCCCGCAACGAGCGCAACCCUUGUCAUUAGUUGCUACAUUUAGUUGGGCACUCUAAUGAGACUGCCGGUGACAAACCGGAGGAAGGUGGGGAUGACGUCAAGUCCUCAUGGCCCUUAUGGGUAGGGCCUCACACGUCAUACAAUGGCGCAUACAGAGGGUUGCCAACCCGCGAGGGGGAGCCAAUCCCAGAAAGUGCGUCGUAGUCCGGAUCGGAGUCUGCAACUCGACUCCGAGAAGUCGGAAUCGCUAGUAAUCGCGGAUCAGCAUGUCGCGGUGAAUACGUUCCGGGGUCUUGUACACACCG
Molecule: ribosomal RNA, 434 nt
Filed under: uncultured bacterium
Lineage: Bacteria
Description: bacterial SSU rRNA
Rfam family: Bacterial small subunit ribosomal RNA
Source: RNAcentral